This 396-nucleotide unclassified non-coding RNA is filed under the name Hevea brasiliensis (rubber tree). The record is from RNAcentral. Lineage: Eukaryota; Viridiplantae; Streptophyta; Magnoliopsida; Malpighiales; Euphorbiaceae.
GUAUGAAUUUCUCACCAAUUUGCCAGAAAACAUCAGUGUUAGUUUCUUCAUAGCUUGAUGGUGACUUUGCAGUUGCACGGCAUUUCUGGGGCUACUGAUUUUCGCCUUCAUGAUGUUGUUCCUAUACAAGGACGUCAAUUUUGCCUUUGUUUUGACCUUUGAUGUCUUGCAGCUGAACCCGUCCUUCCUAUCCAAUUGGUCUCCCCGAAAAUAAGAAUUUACGUUAAUGCACCAAAUCUUUUUGCAAGAUCAUACUGUAAACAGCAUUCUGAAGCAGAAAUUGAUCAGAAUUAAAACUUCAUCUUAUCAAAAAUGAAUUUAACUUCUGUGCAAUGAACAACCACCAGUAAUUAGGCGAAAAUUGAAGACGGGCAAACCCAGAAACCCACUCAGGAA